CAGUCGCCGCGGGAAUACGUAGGUGGCAAGCGUUGUCCGGAAUUAUUGGGCGUAAAGCGAGCGCAGGCGGUUAGGUAAGUCUGAAGUUAAAGGCUGUGGCUUAACCAUAGUACGCUUUGGAAACUGUUUAACUUGAGUGCAAGAGGGGAGAGUGGAAUUCCAUGUGUAGCGGUGAAAUGCGUAGAUAUAUGGAGGAACACCGGUGGCGAAAGCGGCUCUCUGGCUUGUAACUGACGCUGAGGCUCGAAAGCGUGGGGCGCAAACAGGAUUAGAUACCCCUGUAGUCCCUGUCUCUUAUACA
RNAcentral lists this ribosomal RNA (301 nucleotides) under uncultured bacterium. RNAcentral describes it as "partial 16S ribosomal RNA". It matches the Rfam family "Bacterial small subunit ribosomal RNA", at positions 509 to 808 of the family's 1533-position model. The record is from RNAcentral.